This is a long non-coding RNA of Micropterus dolomieu (smallmouth bass), 700 nucleotides long. RefSeq lists it as uncharacterized. The record is from RefSeq and is a predicted model, not a curated record. The transcript is spliced from 2 exons. Lineage: Eukaryota; Metazoa; Chordata; Actinopteri; Centrarchiformes; Centrarchidae.
AUUUACUUCACUUACUCACCAGAGGCAAACAAUACACACUGAAGGACGUAGUUGUGAUGUGAACGUGCCAGAUGCAAACAAAUGGGUGAUUUCCUCUUCACAGGCCCAAGGAUCAGUAACCAGCGGUGAUGAGCAGAGAGAUCUCACCUUCCCAUCCUCGGAGCAGAUGCCCACAUGCUCUCCACUUUCAUCCAGACUGAUCUGGUUGAUCUUCACUGAACUCUGCAGAGACACAAUUAUCAAGGCAUCUUUUUUAGAGGCGGGCUAAUAUCAAAUGCUGCUGGCUGACAUUUUACCCCACUAAGUGAAACGCCAGAAAAAGCGAAAGGCAAAAGAUUUGAGUAUAUGAUGGAUGCAUAGACCCAUAUGUGUCAAUGCACAGAGCAUGGCAUUAACUCUGUGGAGGUUAGAGGAUCCCAAUUCACUGCUGGUGCUUUUAAAUUUUAGACAUUCAUGACACUUUAGAUAAAAGGAUCGACCAAAUGGCAUAAAUUACAGCAAAUGUUACUUAAAAGCUAUCCCUAAAGGGUUGACUGUGCCUCUGCGUAGACUCCAGGAGAAAAAGUUCUUAGCUUAUUUACAAUUUCUCCAGUGCAUUAGGUUCACCUGGGUAUUUGGUACACAUAUUAAAUUUGCUUUUCACUGAAUUCUGACUUGUUCAUUUUGAAACUACAUCACAAAUACAUCUAGGCAGAACUCA